This 253-nucleotide ribosomal RNA is filed under the name uncultured bacterium. Its description in RNAcentral is "partial 16S ribosomal RNA". It matches the Rfam family "Bacterial small subunit ribosomal RNA", at positions 526 to 779 of the family's 1533-position model. The record is from RNAcentral.
CGUAGGUGGCAAGCGUUGUCCGGAAUUACUGGGUGUAAAGGGAGCGUAGGCGGGGAGGCAAGUUGAAUGUUUAAACUAUCGGCUCAACUGAUAGUCGCGUUCAAAACUGCCACUCUUGAGUGCAGUAGAGGUAGGCGGAAUUCCUAGUGUAGCGGUGAAAUGCGUAGAUAUUAGGAGGAACACCAGUGGCGAAGGCGGCCUACUGGGCUGUAACUGACGCUGAGGCUCGAAAGCGUGGGUAGCAAACAGGAUU